GACGAACGCUGGCGGCGUGCUUAACACAUGCAAGUCGAACGGAAAGGCGCUGCUUGUGUGGGGUGCUCGAGUGGCGAACGGGAGAGUAACCUGGGAAUAACCUGCCCUUGACUUUGGGAUAACUUCAGGAAACUGGGGCUAAUACCGGAUAGGAGCUCCUGCUGCAGGGUGGGGGUUGGAACGUUUCGGUGGUUGGGGAUGGAUUCGCGGCUUAUCAGCUGGUUGGUGGGGUAGUGGCUUACCAAGGCUUUGACGGGUAGCCGGCGUGGGAGGUGGGCCAGCCACAUUGGGACUGCGAUAGGGCGCAGUGGCGAACGGGAGGCAGCAGUGGGGAAUAUGGUACAGUGGGCGGAAGCCUGAUGCAGCAGCGCCGGGUGCGGGAUGAAGGCUUUGGGGUUGUAAACCGCUUUCGCCUGUGACGAAGCUUGAGUGACGGUAAUGGGUAAAGAAGCACCGGCUAACUACGUG
This 468-nucleotide ribosomal RNA is filed under the name uncultured bacterium. RNAcentral describes it as "partial 16S ribosomal RNA". It matches the Rfam family "Bacterial small subunit ribosomal RNA", at positions 28 to 507 of the family's 1533-position model. The record is from RNAcentral.